This 273-nucleotide small nuclear RNA is filed under the name Mesocricetus auratus (golden hamster). RNAcentral's name for it is "7SK RNA (ENSMAUG00000004184.1)". It matches the Rfam family "7SK RNA". From Rfam's summary of the family: 7SK was discovered as an abundant small nuclear RNA in the mid-70s but a possible function has only recently been suggested. Two independent studies have found that 7SK RNA binds the CDK9/cyclin T complex (known as elongation factor P-TEFb). Lineage: Eukaryota; Metazoa; Chordata; Mammalia; Rodentia; Cricetidae. The record is from RNAcentral.
GGUUGGGCGAUCGGGCUGUGACAUCUGUCACCCCAUUGAUCGCCAGGGCUGAUUCAGCUGAUCUGGCUGGCUAGUAGUCCCCUUCCUCCCUCACCCCUCCAUAUGCAUCCCUCCCAGUUAAAGAGGAGACCUAGUGGAGGACCAGCCUUAGGUCAAGGGUAUAUGGAUAGCUGCGCUUCCCUGCUAGAACCUCCAAACAAUCUCUCAAAGUCCAUAAUACAGUUUUUAAUUUAUUAAAAAUUAUUAAGGGAAAAAGGAGGUAUUAUGAAAUUU